AGAGACCUAAGAAUAGGAUGGGA
This 23-nucleotide non-coding RNA is filed under the name Rattus norvegicus (Norway rat). Lineage: Eukaryota; Metazoa; Chordata; Mammalia; Rodentia; Muridae. The record is from RNAcentral.